RNAcentral lists this ribosomal RNA (777 nucleotides) under uncultured Neocallimastigales. RNAcentral describes it as "partial large subunit ribosomal RNA". It matches the Rfam family "Eukaryotic large subunit ribosomal RNA", at positions 23 to 621 of the family's 3401-position model. Lineage: Eukaryota; Fungi; Neocallimastigomycota; Neocallimastigomycetes; Neocallimastigales. The record is from RNAcentral.
UGAGACUCUGUGCGCGUGCAUAUCAAUAAGCGGAGGAAAAGAAACUAACUAGGAUUCCCUCAGUAACGGCGAGUGAAGCGGGAAGAGCUCAAAUUUGAAAUCUUCAAGGUUCUACCUUGACGAAUUGUAGUUUAAAGAAGUGUUUUCUGUUGGAGUUUUGGUAAAAGUUCUUUGGAAUAGGACAUCAUAGAGGGUGAGAAUCCCGUAUUUGACCAUUAUUUCCAACUUUGUGAUACACUUUCAAAGAGUCGGAUUGUUUGGGAAUGCAGUCCAAAAUGGGUGGUAAAUUUCAUCUAAAGCUAAAUAUUGGCGAGAGACCGAUAGCGAACAAGUACCGUGAGGGAAAGAUGAAAAGAACUUUGAAAAGAGAGUUAAACAGUACGUGAAAUUGUCAAAAGGGAAGCGUUUGACACCAGUGUUGUUUUUUCCGAAAAUCAAUUACGAAUGUUUUAGUUUUUGAGAAGUUAUGACUUCAUCGGCUUGCUUCUCUCUUUAUGAAACUUUCUUAAUGCACUUUUCGGUUAACAAGUCAACAUCAAUUUCUUUUGUUGUAAAAGGGUAUGAGGAAGGUGGCUUUCUUUUCGGAGAAAGUGUUUAUAGCCUUGUACCUCUGCAAUCGGAGAGAUUGAGGUCUGCAGCGUAGAUCCUUCGGGGUUAGAUACAUUUGUGCUAAGUUAUAGCUUUUCAUAGACAACUUGUUGACUAUGUUUAGUCUUGUAGCUUACUCGCUUAUGCUAUUUUACCUACGCUUAGGAUGUUGAACUCUAUCACACACAG